UACGUAGGGGGCUAGCGUUGUCCGGAAUCAUUGGGUGUAAAGAGCGUGUAGGCGGUCCGGUAAGUCCGCUGUGAAAGUCGGGGGCUCAACCCUCGAAUGCCGGUGGAUACUGUCGGGCUAGAGUGCGGAAGAGGCGAGUGGAAUUCCUGGUGUAGCGGUGAAAUGCGCAGAUAUCAGGAGGAACACCAAUAGCGAAGGCAGCUCGCUGGGACGUUACUGACGCUGAGGCGCGAAAGCGUGGGGAGCGAACAGG
Molecule: ribosomal RNA, 253 nt
Filed under: uncultured bacterium
Lineage: Bacteria
Description: partial 16S ribosomal RNA
Rfam family: Bacterial small subunit ribosomal RNA
Source: RNAcentral